ACCAACUGACGAGUCCCAGAUAGGAUGAAACGCUCGUCCUGGAU
RNAcentral lists this non-coding RNA (44 nucleotides) under Schistosoma mattheei. Lineage: Eukaryota; Metazoa; Platyhelminthes; Trematoda; Strigeidida; Schistosomatidae. The record is from RNAcentral.